Cynara cardunculus var. scolymus (artichoke) is the source of this 899-nucleotide long non-coding RNA. RefSeq lists it as uncharacterized. The transcript is spliced from 4 exons. The record is from RefSeq and is a predicted model, not a curated record. NCBI's taxonomy places the organism in Eukaryota, Viridiplantae, Streptophyta, Magnoliopsida, Asterales, Asteraceae.
AUUCGUCCUCCCUCGCCUCUCGCCUCGCUCACGGACGAACUCACGAACAGAAACCACGAAUCGAAAUCGCAAUCGGCCUUGACUCAAUGGGUUCUCGCUCUCUGCCUCUCUCGAGUCUCGACUAUCGACCGGCUCUCGGCCUCUCGCUCUCGCAUCUUGUGGCUUGUGAGCCUAGGUACGGGAAAAGAGGUAGAGGAAAGUAAUUUGCUGCAGAAACUAUCAGAAGCUUGCAUUGUUGAUUUCUCUUAAAUUGACUCUUCAACUGCACAAGAAAAAGCUAGACAAUUGUAAAUUACCGCACUUGGAUGUUUUCAAGUGGGCAUCAUUUGGACUUUUCGCCGUGGGCACCAAAAAUCUCAGGGCCGACCCUACAAACGCUUAUCUGAGCCUAGGGUGCGAGGAUCAGAGUCCAUAGCAUCUACGUGGUCGACUGCUGGCGAGAUUCUAACACCAACUCGGUCUGGACCAAUGGCUGCAGCUACUGCUUGAACCACCUGCAGUAAGAAUUUGGUGCGGUUCGCUAGUGUUCCACCGUAUUCAUCUGUUCUGUCGUUGAUGCCAUCUUUCAUGAAUUGAUCGAGUAGGUAACCUUGAGCUCCRUGUAUUUCAAUGCCAUCAAAACCUUUGUUCAAAGAAUAAUAGGCUAGUUAGAAAUCAGUUGAAACUGUUAUGAGUAGCCAUUUUUAGCUUACCUUUUUGGUUCAAAUUAUAAUAUUUUGUGCUUAAACUUUAGAACAUUGGUAGGCCUUGAGGAAAAUUCAAAUAACCCUAAAUAAUCAUGAAUAUUAUUCAUCACACAUUCUCAUCAUUCAUGAUAUCAAUGUAUCUUCAUCAUGAAUAAUGUUCAUUGUGAAUGUCUAUCACGAUAUUCAUCAUGAAUAAAACAAGUAUGGUUGGUU